RNAcentral lists this long non-coding RNA (497 nucleotides) under Apis mellifera (honey bee). RNAcentral describes it as "uncharacterized LOC102654966, transcript variant X1". Lineage: Eukaryota; Metazoa; Arthropoda; Insecta; Hymenoptera; Apidae. The record is from RNAcentral.
AAAUAUCAAUUAGGUAAAUUCUAUAUAAUAUCGUCUAUAUAUUUAAUAUUUUUAUAAAGAAGUGCAAUGGACAUUUUCUACGAUCUAAUUUAAUCUCAAAAAAGUAAUAUAAGUGUUAUUUAAAGAUGUUAAAAAGCGCCAGAUUUUGUUUCAAAUAUUCGCAGCAGAAAUCGAGAACACCUAGGAUAUUCAAAUAAUCGGCAGUGACCAACAACUGGCACACGUUCUCAUUGUUCACAUUGAUCGAUCUCAAGUAAGCGUAUUCGAGAAGCAGAUUCAUCAUGUUGCUGCUGACACCAGAUUUUUAAAGAUAUAAAAUAUUUUGAAGAAUAUAAGGAUAUAAAAGAUAAAAGGAUAUAAAAUAUAAAACUUUUGUUUAAGCGUUUAAUAAAGAGUUAAAGUUUUUAUAAAGAGAAAAUGUCAUUCAAGGCAUAGAUUGAACUCAUACUAGACAAGACCUAAAAUAUGGACUGCAAGCUGAUAAAAUGGCCCGGUGA